Molecule: ribosomal RNA, 207 nt
Filed under: uncultured bacterium
Lineage: Bacteria
Description: partial 16S ribosomal RNA
Rfam family: Bacterial small subunit ribosomal RNA
Source: RNAcentral
CGCGUAGGCGGCUUUAUAAGUCUGGAGUGAAAGUCCUCUUUUCAAGGGAGGAAUUGCUUUGGAAACUAUAGAGCUUGAGUGCAGGAGAGGUUAUCGGAAUUCCCGGUGUAGCGGUGAAAUGCGUAGAUAUCGGGAGGAACAUCGGUGGCGAAGGCGGGUAACUGGACUGCAGCUGACGCUGAGGCGCGAAAGUGUGGGGAGCAAACA